This 141-nucleotide small nuclear RNA is filed under the name Cebus imitator (Panamanian white-faced capuchin). RNAcentral describes it as "U4 spliceosomal RNA (ENSCCAG00000014807.1)". It matches the Rfam family "U4 spliceosomal RNA". Rfam says of the family: U4 small nuclear RNA (U4 snRNA) is a component of the major U2-dependent spliceosome. The structure of U4 snRNA from yeast and human has been reported. Lineage: Eukaryota; Metazoa; Chordata; Mammalia; Primates; Cebidae. The record is from Rfam by way of RNAcentral.
AGCUUUGCACAGUGGAAGUAUCGUAGCCAAAGAGGUUUAUCUGAGGCAUGAUUAUUGCUGAUAGAAAAGUUUUCCCAAUACCCUGCCAUGACGACUGGAAAUAUAGUCGGCAUUGGCAAUUUUUGGCAGUCUCUACGGGGA